Molecule: ribosomal RNA, 484 nt
Filed under: uncultured bacterium
Lineage: Bacteria
Description: partial 16S ribosomal RNA
Rfam family: Bacterial small subunit ribosomal RNA
Source: RNAcentral
GAUGAACGCUGGCGGCGUGCUUAACACAUGCAAGUCGAACGGUGAACACGGAGCUUGCUCUGUGGGAUCAGUGGCGAACGGGUGAGUAACACGUGAGCAACCUGCCCCUGACUCUGGGAUAAGCGCUGGAAACGGCGUCUAAUACUGGAUACGAGACGUGAUCGCAUGGUCAACGUCUGGAAAGAAUUUCGGUUGGGGAUGGGCUCGCGGCCUAUCAGCUUGUUGGUGCGGGAAGGGCUCACCAGGGCGUCGACGGGUAGCCGGCCUGGGAGGGUGACCGGCCGGACUGGGACUGAGACACGGCCCAGACUCCUACGGGAGGCAGCAGUGGGGAAUAUUGCACAAUGGGCGCAAGCCUGAUGCAGCAACGCCGCGUGAGGGAUGACGGCCUUCGGGUUGUAAACCUCUUUUAGCAGGGAAGAAGCGAAAGUGACGGUACCUGCAGAAAAAGCGCCGGCUAACUACGUGCCAGCAGCCGCCGUAA